Molecule: ribosomal RNA, 130 nt
Filed under: uncultured bacterium
Lineage: Bacteria
Description: partial 16S ribosomal RNA
Rfam family: Bacterial small subunit ribosomal RNA
Source: RNAcentral
UAUUGCACAAUGGGGGAAACCCUGAUGCAGCGACGCCGCGUGAAGGAAGAAGUAUCUCGGUAUGUAAACUUCUAUCAGCAGGGAAGAUAGUGACGGUACCUGACUAAGAAGCCCCGGCUAACUACGUGCC